RNAcentral lists this ribosomal RNA (509 nucleotides) under Fusarium sp. OK1L102HP. RNAcentral's name for it is "eukaryotic LSU rRNA". The stretch from base 129 to 282 matches the Rfam family "5.8S ribosomal RNA". Lineage: Eukaryota; Fungi; Ascomycota; Sordariomycetes; Hypocreales; Nectriaceae. The record is from RNAcentral.
CUGUGCACAUACCUUAAUGUUGCCUCGGCGGAUCAGCCCGCGCCCCGUAAAACGGGACGGCCCGCCAGAGGACCCAAACUCUAAUGUUUCUUAUUGUAACUUCUGAGUAAAACAAACAAAUAAAUCAAAACUUUCAACAACGGAUCUCUUGGUUCUGGCAUCGAUGAAGAACGCAGCAAAAUGCGAUAAGUAAUGUGAAUUGCAGAAUUCAGUGAAUCAUCGAAUCUUUGAACGCACAUUGCGCCCGCUGGUAUUCCGGCGGGCAUGCCUGUUCGAGCGUCAUUUCAACCCUCAAGCCCCCGGGUUUGGUGUUGGGGAUCGGCUCUGCCUUCUGGCGGCGCCGCCCCCGAAAUACAUUGGCGGUCUCGCUGCAGCCUCCAUUGCGUAGUAGCUAACACCUCGCAACUGGAACGCGGCGCGGCCAUGCCGUAAAACCCCAACUUCUGAAUGUUGACCUCGGAUCAGGUAGGAAUACCCGCUGAACUUAAGCAUAUCAAUAGGGGUAGGAC